This is a long non-coding RNA of Drosophila obscura, 941 nucleotides long. RefSeq lists it as uncharacterized. The record is from RefSeq and is a predicted model, not a curated record. Lineage: Eukaryota; Metazoa; Arthropoda; Insecta; Diptera; Drosophilidae. The transcript has 3 exons.
AUCCACGGUCACACGGAACGCGGCAAAAAGUGAACAAAAAAGGCAAAAAAAAGAAAAUUCAUGAAAUAAAUAAUAGUUGUGAAAUCAUCAAUAGAAGUCAAAGUGGUUUUGGCGAGAAACGUGAGCAGAGUGCUCUGGCUCCCUUGCUCACAGACACUUGCGCACACUCUGGUAACGGUAUCACGCGCUCUGGCCCCAACGUCAUCCAUCGCUGGGGCUCAUUCGUAUUUCAACGCUCGGCAGUGUAAGGUCGUCGUCGCAGCACUCAGCACUUGUUCCGUACGAACACGAACACGAACACUCUCCCAACUAACGUCACCCACACUUGUGCAAAAGGCCAAAGAGCAGUCAAGAGUCGGUGCAAAAAAACGCCCCCGCCACAGCCCCAGCAAGGUGCUUUGGUACCCGCCCGCCCCCGACAGCACUUGAGCAUAAAUUCUUUUGCUUUUCCCUUUUCCUUUAGAAUUUAACUGUGAAAGUGAAAACGUGACAGCACCAAGAACGAAACGAACGAACGAGGCAAGCAAAACAAAAAACCCGCGUGUGUGUGUAAAAAUAAAAAGACGGAAAACUGAACGCAGCAGAACACAAGAGAGAGAGGAAAAAAAGAUAAAAAUAGUCAACGAACGAAGGGACAAGGUAGCCCUCAGGCGAAAACAAGGAGAACAACAAAAAACACAAAAAACAACAACGACAAUUGACAGACUUGGAAGCGCGCCGCCUACACCUUCAAUUUGAUUAUAUAGUAUAUCACAGCUAUGCUCUCGCUGUAUUUGUCCUAAAUUGUUCAUAAUAAUGAAUUCUGCGCGGCAUCAUCGUAUUGGAGUAUUUCUGUCUCCAUAAGUUUGCUAAGAAACACAGCAAAAAUUCAACUGAAAAAAAAAGAAAAGAUUCCAAGCAAAAGAAAAAAAUUAAAAUAAAGGAACAUAAAAAAUACUAAA